CGGCGGACGGGUGAGUAACACGUGGAUAACCUACCUAUAAGACUGGGAUAACUUCGGGAAACCGGAGCUAAUACCGGAUAACAUAUUGAACCGCAUGGUUCAAUAGUGAAAGGCGGCUUUGCUGUCACUUAUAGAUGGAUCCGCGCCGUAUUAGCUAGUUGGUAAGGUGACGGCUUACCAAGGCAACGAUACGUAGCCGACCUGAGAGGGUGAUCGGCCACACUGGAACUGAGACACGGUCCAG
Molecule: ribosomal RNA, 244 nt
Filed under: uncultured Staphylococcus sp.
Lineage: Bacteria; Bacillati; Bacillota; Bacilli; Caryophanales; Staphylococcaceae
Description: partial 16S ribosomal RNA
Rfam family: Bacterial small subunit ribosomal RNA
Source: RNAcentral